RNAcentral lists this microRNA precursor (101 nucleotides) under Drosophila virilis. RNAcentral describes it as "microRNA dvi-mir-964 precursor". Its record names the gene dvi-mir-964. Lineage: Eukaryota; Metazoa; Arthropoda; Insecta; Diptera; Drosophilidae. The record is from miRBase by way of RNAcentral.
UGAAAAUACAUUAAGUUUAACUUAUCUUAGAAUAGGGGAGCUUAACUUUGUAUGAACAUUUAAGCUAAGAGCCUCAAUUCUUAGAUAAUGCGACUAACAAC